AAAUUGCGAUAAGUAGUGUGAAUUGCAGAUCUGCUUGUGAAUCAUCGAAAUUUUGAACGCAAUGCGCCCUUGGGCAACCUUGGGCACGCCAGGUUGAGUGACACUAAUUUAUAUUUACCUUUCUGGUAAGAAUUGGCAUUGUAAUGAGAGCUUUUUAUGCAGGAAUUACUAUGCUAAAAUGCCAUCGAAUUUGCAUCGAGAAGCUGUAUUUAUGAACGCCUGAAGUGGGGCAAAUUCUGGCUAGUAGUUUCCAGCAAUCAAAGUGCAGUUUUUAAAUUGGCACAGCAAUUAGAACUGUGCAAUAUGCAGAAGGCCAAACUGCCUAAAACUGGUUAAAACAAUCGUGUCCUCAGCUCUGGCGGGAUUACCUGCUGAACUUAA
Molecule: unclassified non-coding RNA, 381 nt
Filed under: uncultured fungus
Lineage: Eukaryota; Fungi
Description: sequence contains ITS1
Rfam family: 5.8S ribosomal RNA (bases 1-103)
Source: RNAcentral